GAUGAACGCUGACAGAAUGCUUAACACAUGCAAGUCUACUUGAACCUCGGUUUGGGUGGCGGACUGGUGAGUAAAGCGUAAAGAACUUGCCUCACAGUUAGGGACAACAUUUGGAAACGAAUGCUAAUACCUGAAAUUAUGAUUUUAGGGCAUCCUAAGAUUAUGAAAGCUAUAUGCACUGUGUGAGAGCUUUGCGUCCCAUUAGCUAGUUGGAGAGGUAACGGCUCACCAAGGCGAUGAUGGGUAGCCGGCCUGAGAGGGUGAACGGCCACAAGGGGACUGAGACACGGCCCUUACUCCUACGGGAGGCAGCAGUGGGGAAUAUUGGACAAUGGACCAAAAGUCUGAUCCAGCAAUUCUGUGUGCACGAUGACGUUUUUCGGAAUGUAAAGUGCUUUCAGUUGGGAAGAAAAAAAUGACGGUACCAACAGAAGAAGUGACGGCUAAAUACGUG
RNAcentral lists this ribosomal RNA (454 nucleotides) under uncultured bacterium. Its description in RNAcentral is "partial 16S ribosomal RNA". It matches the Rfam family "Bacterial small subunit ribosomal RNA", at positions 28 to 507 of the family's 1533-position model. The record is from RNAcentral.